Molecule: transfer RNA, 75 nt
Filed under: Candidatus Dojkabacteria bacterium
Lineage: Bacteria
Description: tRNA-Glu
Rfam family: tRNA
About the family: Transfer RNA (tRNA) molecules are approximately 80 nucleotides in length.
Source: RNAcentral
GGCCCUAUCGUUUAACGGUUAGGACACUAGAUUCUCAAUCUAGCAAUCCGGGUUCGAUUCCCGGUGGGGUCACCA